This 445-nucleotide ribosomal RNA is filed under the name uncultured bacterium. RNAcentral's name for it is "partial 16S ribosomal RNA". It matches the Rfam family "Bacterial small subunit ribosomal RNA", at positions 29 to 523 of the family's 1533-position model. The record is from RNAcentral.
AGCGAACGCUGGCGGCAGGCUUAACACAUGCAAGUCGAACGCCCCGCAAGGGGAGUGGCAGACGGGUGAGUAACACGUGGGAACGUACCCUUUGGUUCGGAAUAACUUGGGGAAACUCAAGCUAAUACCGGAUAAGCCCUUAUGGGGAAAGGUUUACUGCCGAAGGACCGGCCCGCGUCUGAUUAGCUAGUUGGUGAGGUAAUGGCUCACCAAGGCGACGAUCAGUAGCUGGUCUGAGAGGAUGAUCAGCCACACUGGGACUGAGACACGGCCCAGACUCCUACGGGAGGCAGCAGUGGGGAAUAUUGGACAAUGGGGGCAACCCUGAUCCAGCCAUGCCGCGUGAGUGAUGAAGGCCUUAGGGUUGUAAAGCUCUUACCCGGGACGAUAAUGACUGUACCGGGAGAAUAAGCCCCGGCUAACUUCGUGCCAGCAGCCGCCGUAA